This 371-nucleotide ribosomal RNA is filed under the name uncultured bacterium. RNAcentral describes it as "bacterial SSU rRNA". It matches the Rfam family "Bacterial small subunit ribosomal RNA", at positions 163 to 509 of the family's 1533-position model. The record is from RNAcentral.
CUAAUACCGGAUAAGAAAGCAGAUCGCAUGAUCAGCUUUUAAAAGGUACGGCGUAAGACUGUCGCUAUGGGAGUGGCCCCGCCGGUGCAUUAGCUAGUUGGUAAGGUAAAGGACUUACCAAGGCGAUGAUGCAUAGCCGACGUUGUAGAGACUGAUCGGCCGACAUUGGGACGUGAGACACGGCCCAAACUACCUACGGGAGGCAGCAGUAGGGAAUCUUCCACAAUGGACGCAAGUCUGAUGGAGCAACGCCGCGUGAGUGAAGAAGGUUUUCGGAUCGUAAAGCUCUGUUGUUGGUGAAGAAGGAUAGAGGUAGUAACUGGCCUUUAUUUGACGGUAAUCAACCAGAAAGUCACGGCUAACUACGUGCC